This 253-nucleotide ribosomal RNA is filed under the name uncultured archaeon. Its description in RNAcentral is "partial 16S ribosomal RNA". It matches the Rfam family "Archaeal small subunit ribosomal RNA", at positions 474 to 726 of the family's 1478-position model. The record is from RNAcentral.
CACCAGCGCCACGAGUGGCUAUCGCGAUUAUUGGGCCUAAAGCGUCCGUAGUCGGUUCUGUACAUCCUCUGUGAAAUCGCAGCGCUCAACGUUGCGGCAUGCGGGGGACACGGCAGAACUUGAGACCGGGAGGCGUGUAGGGUAUUCCACGGGGACCGGUAAAAUGGUAUAAUCCGUGGAGGACCACCUGUGGCGAAGGCGCUACACGAGAACGGAUCUGACGAUGAGGGACGAAAGCCAGGGGAGCAAACCG